Molecule: ribosomal RNA, 252 nt
Filed under: uncultured bacterium
Lineage: Bacteria
Description: partial 16S ribosomal RNA
Rfam family: Bacterial small subunit ribosomal RNA
Source: RNAcentral
UACGAAAGGAGCAGGUGUUAUUCAGAUUAACUGGGCGUAAAGGGUACGUAGGUAGUUUGUAAUAUGUAUUAUAAAAUCGUAAAGCUUAACUUUACAACGUAAUAUACACAGCAAAACUUGAGUUAGGUAAGGGGUAGCAGAAUUUCUAAUGUAAAGGUGAAAUUUGAUAAAAUUAGAGAGAAUACCAAUGGCGUAGGCAGCUACCUAGUCCUUAACUGACACUGAGGUACGAAAGUACGGGUAGCAAAUAGG